RNAcentral lists this unclassified non-coding RNA (1145 nucleotides) under Hermetia illucens (black soldier fly). RNAcentral's name for it is "odorant receptor 33b-like, transcript variant X4". The record is from RNAcentral. Lineage: Eukaryota; Metazoa; Arthropoda; Insecta; Diptera; Stratiomyidae.
CGAGACACUAUCCUUGAGAAUAAAAUCAGCUCGCGUCAAACACAUCACAUUAAAUAUCCACGAAUCCCACCUCUCUCUGUCUCUGAAUGUUAAUUCCUUAUUGUAUGGGUCGGUAUCACAAAUGCAUAUCUUCUUUGCGGUUAGCUCUACAAUGGAAGGAAGUGGUAUUUAUCAUUCAUUAUGCUAGUUCAGAUUUGCUCGCUUAAAAGAUGGUUAGUGUGUUUCGAACAGCGAAUUAAUUUCUGUGCAUAUUAGCCUGCAAAUAUAAAUUUGGAAAUAUAAAAGGGUUUAGCAAAAUCCAAAAAUGUUAUUCGGUUCGAAAAAUUCGUCAGAAAACAGAAUUGAAAGCAUCCAGGCGUUCGGAAUCAUCUAUUUUACGUUAAAGUUCCAAGGAAUGGUUAUAAACGAAGAGUAUCGCCUUCGACACAAAACCAACAUUUUGUAUCACGCCUCGUUCAUCAUCGAACUAUUCUUCAUUAUAUUCAAAUAUUCCUAUGAACAUUUGUGUGACAGCCUGCUCGCUUAAGUUCUAUGUAAUUUUGAGAUUAAGACCCACAGCCUUAUCGAAAUGAAUGAACAGCUGAAGCGUCUAGACGACCGACCUAUGACGGACAAGGAAAAGGAUAAAUUGAAGAAGGUAAUCCGCUUUUGCAGACUGAUUUCGACGAUGGCUGCCGUGUUUUACUUGGGGGCAAAUUUAGCAUAUAUCCUUGCUGCGGCACUUUCUCACGACACGAAACUUGGAUUUGGAAGCUGGUUCCCAUACGAUUGGAGUAAGAACGCCUUUCGGUACUGGAUUUCGUUGUUUAUACAGGGCAUGUUCCAACAGCAACUCGCGCUGGAACAGAUAUUCACUAUGAUCCAGAGAAAACGGAGGAGGAAGCUUUCCAAGACUUUAUACGGUGCUUAGAGGACCACCGGAUUAUAAUGGAGUAAUAAAGGCUAUGUACACGGCAUUAACGAUCAUGAACCCAUCCGACUGAGGAGGAGCAGUAACGACAUUUUUUUCAGUUUAAUCAGAAAUUUAUAAUUUAGAAAAGAUGUAUCUCAAUCCCGCCCUUUACUUUUUCUUUUGUGCAUUCACUAAUUUUAAACAAUGUAAUAACGUUUGUAGCAUUCAAUUAAUAAAAGGCUUACAAUAAUGA